GGUAACACGAAAUCGUACCCCAAACCGACACAGGUGGUCAGGUAGAGAAUACCAAGGCGCUUGAGAGAACUCGGGUGAAGGAACUAGGCAAAAUGGUGCCGUAACUUCGGGAGAAGGCACGCUGAUAUGUAGGUGAAGCCCCUGCGGGCGGAGCUGAAAUCAGUCGAAGAUACCAGCUGGCUGCAACUGUUUAUUAAAAACACAGCACUGUGCAAACACGAAAGUGGACGUAUACGGUGUGACGCCUGCCCGGUG
Molecule: ribosomal RNA, 255 nt
Filed under: Enterobacter hormaechei
Lineage: Bacteria; Pseudomonadati; Pseudomonadota; Gammaproteobacteria; Enterobacterales; Enterobacteriaceae
Also listed under: 2 other names
Description: partial 23S ribosomal RNA
Rfam family: Bacterial large subunit ribosomal RNA
Source: RNAcentral